AGUGAACGCUGGCGGUAGGCCUAACACAUGCAAGUCGAACGGCAGCACAGUAAGAGCUUGCUCUUACGGGUGGCGAGUGGCGGACGGGUGAGGUAUACAUCGGAAUCUACUUUUUCAUGGGGGAUAACGUAGGGAAACUUACGCUAAUACCGCAUACGACCUACGGGUGAAAGCAGGGGAUCUUCGGACCUUGCGCGAUUGAAUGAGCCGAUGUCGGAUUAGCUAGUUGGCGGGGUAAAGGCCCACCAAGGCGACGAUCCGUAGCUGGUCUGAGAGGAUGAUCAGCCACACUGGAACUGAGACACGGUCCAGACUCCUACGGGAGGCAGCAGUGGGGAAGAUUGGACAAUGGGCGCAAGCCUGAUCCAGCCAUACCGCGUGGGUGAAGAAGGACUUCGGGUUGUAAAGCCCUUUUGUUGGGAAAGAAAAGCAGCAGGUUAAUACCCCGCUGUUCUGACGGUACCCAAAGAAUAAGCACCGGCUAACUUCGUG
This 492-nucleotide ribosomal RNA is filed under the name uncultured bacterium. RNAcentral's name for it is "partial 16S ribosomal RNA". It matches the Rfam family "Bacterial small subunit ribosomal RNA", at positions 29 to 507 of the family's 1533-position model. The record is from RNAcentral.